UACGUAGGUGGCAAGCGUUGUCCGGAUUUACUGGGUGUAAAGGGCGUGCAGCCGGGGAGACAAGUCAGAUGUGAAAUCCACGGGCUCAACCCGUGAACUGCAUUUGAAACUGUUUCCCUUGAGUGUCGGAGAGGUAAUCGGAAUUCCUUGUGUAGCGGUGAAAUGCGUAGAUAUAAGGAAGAACACCAGUGGCGAAGGCGGAUUACUGGACGAUAACUGACGGUGGGGCGCGAAAGCGUGGGGAGCAAACAGG
RNAcentral lists this ribosomal RNA (253 nucleotides) under uncultured bacterium. RNAcentral's name for it is "partial 16S ribosomal RNA". It matches the Rfam family "Bacterial small subunit ribosomal RNA", at positions 524 to 776 of the family's 1533-position model. The record is from RNAcentral.